UGGGGAAUAUUGGACAAUGGGGGAAACCCUGAUCCAGCCAUGCCGCGUGAAUGAUGAAGGCCUUCGGGUUGUAAAGUUCUUUUGGUAGGGACGAUGAUGACGGUACCUACAGAAUAAGCUCCGGCUAACUUCGUGCCAGCAGCCGCGGUAAUACGAAGGGAGCUAGCGUUGUUCGGAAUUACUGGGCGUAAAGGGUGCGUAGGCGGUUCGAUAAGUCAGAUGUGAAAGCCCUGGGCUCAACCCGGGAACUGCGUUUGAGACUGUCGAGCUUGAAUUCGGUAGAGGUGAGUGGAAUUCCCAGUGUAGAGGUGAAAUUCGUAGAUAUUGGGAAGAACACCGGUGGCGAAGGCGGCUCACUGGACCGACAUUGACGCUGAGGCACGAAAGCGUGGGGAGCAAACA
This 402-nucleotide ribosomal RNA is filed under the name uncultured bacterium. RNAcentral describes it as "bacterial SSU rRNA". It matches the Rfam family "Bacterial small subunit ribosomal RNA", at positions 355 to 774 of the family's 1533-position model. The record is from RNAcentral.